UUUCCGUAGGUGAACCUGCGGAAGGAUCAUUAAAGAGAACAUGCCCUUCGGGGUAGAUCUCCCACCCUUUGUUUAUAUUACCUUUGUUGCUUUGGCAGGCCCGUCUUCGGACCACCGGCUUCGGCUGGUCAGUGCUUGCCAGAGGACCCAAAACUCUUAUUAUUAAUGUCGUCUGAGUACUAUAUAAUAGUUAAAACUUUCAACAACGGAUCUCUUGGUUCUG
Molecule: unclassified non-coding RNA, 223 nt
Filed under: plant metagenome
Description: partial contains small subunit ribosomal RNA, internal transcribed spacer 1, and 5.8S ribosomal RNA
Source: RNAcentral